RNAcentral lists this ribosomal RNA (717 nucleotides) under uncultured bacterium. RNAcentral's name for it is "bacterial SSU rRNA". It matches the Rfam family "Bacterial small subunit ribosomal RNA", at positions 46 to 769 of the family's 1533-position model. The record is from RNAcentral.
GCCUUAAGCAUGCAAGUCGAGCGAGAAAUUUUACUUCGGUAAAAUGGACAGCGGCGAACGGGUGAGUACAACGCAGGAACAUACCCACAAGUGGGGGAUAGCCCAUCGAAAGGUGGAUUAAUACCGCAUGUGUCCCAAUUUAUUGGGGUAAAGGAUAUAACUAUUCGCUUAUGGAGUGGCCUGUGUGCUAUCAGCUUGUUGGUAAGGUAAAAGCUUACCAAGGCUACGACGGCUAGGGGGUGUGAGAGCAUGACCCCCCACAAGGAGACUGAGACACGGCUCCUACACCUACGGGUGGCAGCAACUGGGAAUCUUGCGCAAUGGGCGAAAGCCUGACGCAGCGACACCGCGUGAAGGAUGAAGGCCUUCGGGUUGUAAACUUCUUUUAUAUGGGAAUAAAGAAAAGGUGAGGGACUGAAGGUACCAUACGAAUAAGCACCUGCUAACUACGUGCCAGAAGCCUCGGUAAUACGUAGGGUGCAAGCGUUAUCCGGAAUUACUGGGCGUAAAGCGUCGCGUAGGCGGUUAUAUAAGUGCAUGGUGAAAGCCUUGGGCUCAACUCAAGAAUUGCUGUGCAGACUGUAUAACUAGAGGACGUUAGAGGAUGCUGGAAUUCUCGGUGGAGGGGUGAAAUCCGUUGAUAUUCGAGAAGAACACCAAGGGCGAAGGCAGGCAUCUGGGACGUUACUGACGCUGAGGCACGAAAGCUAGGGGAGC